GCUUGUUGGUGAGGUAACGGCCCACCAAGGCGACGACGGGUAGCCGGCCUGAGAGGGCGACCGGCCACACUGGGACUGAGACACGGCCCAGACUCCUACGGGAGGCAGCAGUGGGGAAUAUUGCACAAUGGGCGAAAGCCUGAUGCAGCGACGCCGCGUGAGGGAUGACUGCCUUCGGGUUGUAAACCUCUUUCAGCAGGGACGAAGCGAAAGUGACGGUACCUGCAGAAGAAGCACCGGCCAACUACGUGCCAGCAGCCGCGGUAAUACGUA
Molecule: ribosomal RNA, 273 nt
Filed under: uncultured bacterium
Lineage: Bacteria
Description: partial 16S ribosomal RNA
Rfam family: Bacterial small subunit ribosomal RNA
Source: RNAcentral